This 253-nucleotide ribosomal RNA is filed under the name uncultured bacterium. RNAcentral describes it as "partial 16S ribosomal RNA". It matches the Rfam family "Bacterial small subunit ribosomal RNA", at positions 524 to 776 of the family's 1533-position model. The record is from RNAcentral.
UACGAAGGGGGCUAGCGUUGUUCGGAAUUACUGGGCGUAAAGCGCGUGUAGGCGGGCUUUUAAGUCAGGGGUGAAAUGCCGGAGCUCAACUUCGGAACUGCCUUUGAUACUGGAAGUCUUGAGUCCGGGAGAGGUGAGUGGAACUGCGAGUGUAGAGGUGAAAUUCGUAGAUAUUCGCAAGAACACCAGUGGCGAAGGCGGCUCACUGGCCCGGAACUGACGCUGAGACGCGAAAGCGUGGGGAGCAAACAGG